GACAGAGGAGGCGAGCGUUAUCCGGAAUUAUUGGGCGUAAAGGGUACGUAGGCGGCUGGUCAAGUCUGGGGUUAAAGGCCACAGCUCAACUGUGGGAAGGCCCUGGAAACUGACCGGCUAGAGUGAGGUAGGGGUUGCGGGAAUUCCCGGUGUAGCGGUGAAAUGCGUAGAGAUCGGGAAGAACACCUGAGGCGGAAGCGCGCAACUGGGCCUCAACUGACGCUGAGGUACGAAAGCUAGGGGAGCGAAUGGG
This 253-nucleotide ribosomal RNA is filed under the name uncultured bacterium. RNAcentral describes it as "partial 16S ribosomal RNA". It matches the Rfam family "Bacterial small subunit ribosomal RNA", at positions 524 to 776 of the family's 1533-position model. The record is from RNAcentral.